GACUCUCGACAACGGAUAUCUCGGCUCUCGCAUCGAUGAAGAACGUAGCGAAAUGCGAUACUUGGUGUGAAUUGCAGAAUCCCGUGAACCAUCGAGUCUUUGAACGCAAGUUGCGCCCGAAGCCACUAGGCUGAGGGCACGUCUGCCUGGGCGUCACAC
Molecule: ribosomal RNA, 159 nt
Filed under: Asimina obovata
Lineage: Eukaryota; Viridiplantae; Streptophyta; Magnoliopsida; Magnoliales; Annonaceae
Description: partial 5.8S ribosomal RNA
Rfam family: 5.8S ribosomal RNA
About the family: 5.8S ribosomal RNA (5.8S rRNA) is a component of the large subunit of the eukaryotic ribosome. It is transcribed by RNA polymerase I as part of the 45S precursor that also contains 18S and 28S rRNA.
Source: RNAcentral